CUGGCGGCGUGCCUAACACAUGCAAGUCGAACGGGAAUCUUCGGAUUCUAGUGGCGGACGGGUGAGUAACGCGUAAGAAUCUAACUUCAGGACGGGGACAACAGUUGGAAACGACUGCUAAUACCCGAUAUGCCGCAAGGUGAAACCUAAUUGGCCUGAAGAAGAGCUUGCGUCUGAUUAGCUAGUUGGUGGGGUAAGAGCCUACCAAGGCGACGAUCAGUAGCUGGUCUGAGAGGAUGAGCAGCCACACUGGGACUGAGACACGGCCCAGACUCCUACGGGAGGCAGCAGUGGGGAAUUUUCCGCAAUGGGCGAAAGCCUGACGGAGCAACGCCGCGUGAGGGAGGAAGGUCUUUGGAUUGUAAACCUCUUUUCUCAAGGAAGAAGUUCUGACGGUACUUGAGGAAUCAGCCUCGGCUAACUCCGUGCCAGCAGCCGCGGUAAUACGGGGGAGGCAAGCGUUAUCCGGAAUUAUUGGGCGUAAAGCGUCCGCAGGUGGUCAGCCAAGUCUGCCGUCAAAUCAGGUUGCUUAACGACCUAAAGGCGGUGGAAACUGGCAGACUAGAGAGCAGUAGGGGUAGCAGGAAUUCCCAGUGUAGCGGUGAAAUGCGUAGAGAUUGGGAAGAACAUCGGUGGCGAAAGCGUGCUACUGGGCUGUAUCUGACACUCAGGGACGAAAGCUAGGGGAGCGAAAGGGAUUAGAUACCCCUGUAGUCCUAGCCGUAAACGAUGGAUACUAGGCGUGGCUUGUAUCGACCCGAGCCGUGCCGAAGCUAACGCGUUAAGUAUC
Molecule: ribosomal RNA, 790 nt
Filed under: uncultured cyanobacterium
Lineage: Bacteria; Bacillati; Cyanobacteriota
Description: bacterial SSU rRNA
Rfam family: Bacterial small subunit ribosomal RNA
Source: RNAcentral